This is a long non-coding RNA of Cyanistes caeruleus (blue tit), 592 nucleotides long. RefSeq lists it as uncharacterized. The record is from RefSeq and is a predicted model, not a curated record. Lineage: Eukaryota; Metazoa; Chordata; Aves; Passeriformes; Paridae.
CUCUGCUGGCUGCUAGCUAUGCUUUUGUGCCUUCAUUUCCAGCCCAGGGCCAGACACACUCCUUUCCAUUUCCUCGGGAAGAAGACUGAGUGAAAUUAGCAGAUGACUGCGGCAACUGUAUCGCCUCUUUGCUCUGUCCCUUGCAGCCUGCACUCACUGCCAGUGGUCAACCUACCUGGUCACAGGGGCAAUGUGAAAGAAGUAAAGGAGGAAAUUCAAGUGCAAGAAGCAGAAGAAGGAUGAAACAGGAGAGGGUUUUCUUUUCAGAAAAAUGAAAAUGGAAAAAAUCUAACAAAUCUUUUUAUGGGAAGCUGAUAAAGGUUAUUUACAGCUUCCUCAAAUCUGAUACAUCUCUAAAUGGCUGAGGAGAUGAAAGAGCAUUCACUAGACUGAGUCUUCAGAUUUUGUCUGCAAGAAGAGUUUGAUGCAAUCAGUCACAGCUCUUACAAGAAAACUACAAAAUUCAUUGACACUAAUUAUCUGACUUAAGGUAGAGUUUUGUGCCAGUUCUCCAUCAUCUCCCCCUCCUUGUCUGGCAAAAUGAGAGUGAACAUCAGUGCAGGUUCCUGUGGGGAGUUGUUUUGGCUGGAGC